RNAcentral lists this unclassified non-coding RNA (335 nucleotides) under soil metagenome. RNAcentral describes it as "partial contains 5.8S ribosomal RNA, internal transcribed spacer 2, and large subunit ribosomal RNA". The stretch from base 3 to 121 matches the Rfam family "5.8S ribosomal RNA", at positions 36 to 154 of the family's 154-position model. The record is from RNAcentral.
GAAUGAAGAACGCAGCGAAAUGCGAUAAGUAAUGUGAAUUGCAGAAUUCAGUGAAUCAUCGAAUCUUUGAACGCACAUUGCGCCCAUUAGUAUUCUAGUGGGCAUGCCUGUUCGAGCGUCAUUUCAACCCUUAAGCCUAGCUUAGUAUUGGGAAUCGACUUUACUGUCGUUCCUCAAAUUCAACGGCGGAUUUAUAGCAAUCUCUGAACGUAGUAAUUUUUUUUCUCGUUUUUGAAAUACUAUAAACCUCAGCCGCUAAACCCCCAAUUUCUUAUGGUUGACCUCGGAUCAGGUAGGAAUACCCGCUGAACUUAAGCAUAUCAAUAAGCGGAGGA